AUUCUUUCCUUCCCAGCUCCUCCACCACCACCACUCCCUAUUGGUGAAAUUGGCACAUGUCAAAGAGCUAACAAAGGGAUCUUCCUAAAAGGCGUCAUUGUGUGCCCAAAGGGUUUCUGGACUUGGACAUCAUGGUGGACUGCGAAGGAGAUACAGAGCUCAUCUAGAGACGCUUGUAUCUACUCAAGUCCUGCCACCUUGGAGGUCUACUAGGACCAUGUAGGGUCACCAUAGAUGCUGUCUACUAGUGUUAUGCACAACAUAACUGCCCAAAACUUUAAUUGCCAGUAUUCUAUAGUCAGAAUUAUCUCAGCAGGAGAAUCUAUGGAGAAAACAAGAUUAUAAUGAGAAAAUGUCCUUGAUAAACACGCAAUUAGAGGAAGAGGAGUCGGCUUAACUUACUCAUCCAUCCAACCACUCAGCACUCUCUCUAUAUCCUUCCUGAGUUGAUGGAAAUGGCCCCAAAGACUAGCCAGGGUGCCAUCUUCUCUAGACAGUGAUAGAGAUGCUCUGAAAAAUUGUAUUUCUUUAGCUUCUCAUUUUCUAGACUUUAUGCAGACAAUCCCCUUGUGUUCACUUGGAAGACACAACUGACCAGGUCUCAACGUUAGACAUGUUAAUAUAGUCAUAUACAUUCUUUUUUUAACUUUUACUUUAGGUUCAGGGGUACAUGUACACAUAUGUUAUAUAGACAAAUUAAGCAUCAUGAGGGUUUGGUGUACAGAUUAUUUUGUUACUCAGGCAAUAAGCAUUGUGCCCGAGAGGUAGUUUUUCCAUCGUUACCCUCCUCCCGCCCUCCACCCUUGGUGUCUAUCAUUCCCUUCUUUGUGUCCAUAUGUACUCGGUGUACUCUCACUUAUAAACGAGAACACGUGGUAUUUGGUUUUCUGUUCCUGUGUUAAUUUGCUUAGAAUAAUGGCCUCUAGCUCCAUCCAUCUUGCUGCAAAGGACAUGAUCUCGUUCUUUUUUAUGGCUGCACAGCAUUCCAUGGUGUAUAUAUACCACAUCUUCUUUAUCCAAUCUACCACUGACAGACAUUUAGGUUGAUUUCAUGUCUUUGCUAUUGUGAAUAGUUCUGUGAGGAACAUACGGUUGCAUGUGUCUUUAUGGUAAAACAAUUUAUAUUCCUCUAGGUCUAUACCCAAUAAUGAGAUUGCUGGGUCGCAUAGAAAUUCUCUUUUAAGUUCUUUAAGAAAUCACCGAACUGCUUUCCACAGUGGUGGAACUAAUUUACAUUCCCACCAGCAUUGUAAGCAUUCCCUUUCUAUACAACCUUGCCAACAUCUGUUGUUUUUUGACUUUUUAAUAAUAGCCAUUCUGACUGGUGUGAGAUGGUAUCUCAUUGUGGUUUUGAUUUGCAUUUCUCUAAUGAUUAAUGAUGUUGAGCAUUUUUUAUGUGCUUGUUGGUCAAGUCAUUUGCAUUCUUAACACUACACUUGGGUUAAUUAAAUAUCUCAGCCACUAUGUUCAAAUUAUUGCUUAGGAAAAGUUAGUUUUCUCAGGAAAUUGAUCUCACCCAAAACAAGUUUUCCUAAGCCUUGAGGGGAGCCUUAUUGUUGUGCCUUUGUGCAGAAUUCACUAUUUUUGGGAGAUAUAAACAUUCUAGAGUAUUAAAGCUUCACUCUAGUGGGAAGCAUUUAACACAGAUGAGGCUAAAUAGAAAAAUACACUAAAUAGGUAAUAGUAAUAAUAUAAAUUGAGCUGGUGUCUUUCUUUUUUAAUUGUUGGGGACUCAGUUAUAGAAUGGGAGGAUCACAAAGCUUCUGAAAGGAAGAACCCAUCCAUGUAGGCCAGGAUUCAUCAAUCUCUCCAUCCCAAGAUGUCUGUCUUCCCCUCAGCAUCACAGGACACUGGUUCAGGCCCUGGGGUGGAGGAGAUAGCUGGCGUGGGCUAGAGAGGGGGAACCACCUCCCACCAGAGGAACUGGAGGGCUGAGUGGUGGGCUGAGGGCCACUGGGAAAGGGAAAGCCCCUUGGCUGACACACCUGUGAGUGUUAAACAUGCACAGAUGGGAAGCCUGUGUUUACCUAUGAUUUGGACACAGGAUUAGAAGGUCACAUUCAAAAAAUGCCUCCUAAGAACCCCCUGGAGGGAACAGACUUUGGGUUAAAGCAUUUUCUGAAGAGACUCAAAGCAAGUUCUUCUCUUGUUGAGAGAUAAGAUAAAUGAGGACCCUCACUCUUGGCCUUUUUCCCCCUACUUAUAGUUUCUACAGAUGCUUGGAGUCAUAUGAUCUACUCUAAGCAAAUUCUGACUGAGGUACGACAGGAGGGAUCCAGGUUCUGUGAGGCCUGAAAACAAUACGGUUAUUGUAAGGAUUAAGAGAGACAAUAUAUGUAAUCUUUGGCUUGAUGCUUUGCACAAUGUAAGGACUCAAUAAACAACAGUUACCUAAGGGAUAGGUCAUGAAGCAAGGAGUCCAGUGAGGAUAUUCCCUCAACAGUGUGGGCCAGAGAUGAGAAAGCUUACACUGGCACUGUUGUUUGGCAGCAAAGAUGGAGAUGGAGAAGGUGGAACAGUGCUGGAAGAAAUUAAGAGGACAGGAAUAGUAGGGUGUGCUUGAUGAUUGGAUUCAGAGGAUGAUUUGAGAAGUGGGAAGAGGGAAGUGCCAGCCAAAAAACUGAGGAAGAACAAACAGAGCACCAAGCAUCAAGUAGUGAUCACUGAAUGACUCAAUACUGCCCAGCAUGGACACACCUAGGAAAUGUUAGCCAAAGAAAUGUUAUAAUUGUCUAAGUGUAUAAAUGUCAAAUGAAGGGGGCAAUGUAUAAAUUUUAUUUUAAAAAUAAAUAUUUUUAUUCAUAGUUAUAGUCUCAUAUGAAUUAAAGUACUGAAAAAUGACUUAAUUACCCAAAAGUGUCAUCAUUGUGUAAUAAAAAUAAACUAGAAAAGAACGUUACGAUGGCUAGUAAAUUAUUAGAAAUAUAGACAAAAGACAGAAUUA
This 2944-nucleotide long non-coding RNA is filed under the name Homo sapiens (human). RNAcentral describes it as "HSALNT0348559". The record is from RNAcentral. Lineage: Eukaryota; Metazoa; Chordata; Mammalia; Primates; Hominidae.